This 268-nucleotide ribosomal RNA is filed under the name uncultured prokaryote. Its description in RNAcentral is "partial 16S ribosomal RNA". It matches the Rfam family "Bacterial small subunit ribosomal RNA", at positions 524 to 792 of the family's 1533-position model. The record is from RNAcentral.
UACGUAGGGGCAAGCGUUAUCCGGAUUUACUGGGUGUAAAGGGAGCGCAGACGGUAUGGUAAGUCAGAUGUGAAAGCCCGGGGCUCAACCCCGGGACUGCAUUUGAAACUAUCAAACUGGAGUGCAGGAGAGGUAAGUGGAAUUCCUAGUGUAGCGGUGAAAUGCGUAGAUAUUACACAGAACACCGAUUGCGAAGGCAGCUUACUAAUCCAUCAUUGACGCUGAGGCACGAAAGCGUGGGGAUCAAACAGGAUUAGAUACCCGGGUA